RNAcentral lists this long non-coding RNA (303 nucleotides) under Elaeis guineensis (African oil palm). RNAcentral describes it as "long non-coding RNA (EGUI_LNC001558)". The record is from RNAcentral. Lineage: Eukaryota; Viridiplantae; Streptophyta; Magnoliopsida; Arecales; Arecaceae.
UAAAGGUGAUUCCAUAAGUAUAUCCAUGCUUUCCAAAUAAUAGUAAUUGAGUGAGGGCUUUGUUCCAUUUAUGAUAUAGAAUAAGCUCUCCAGCAAACAGACAGCUAAAUCUUGGCUUCAUAAGUUUGCUUUCGAGAAAAUUGGCCUCAUAACUAAAUUUAAUCGGCUCUUCAUGAACCAGUCAAGAGGAGAUCAUUCUGCAUUCCAUCUCCCAUCUUCUGUUAACCAGCCAUAUCUUCACAUCUUCUUCAAACCUGAACGUAUCUGUAGCUGCCAUAGCCUGCAGUUAAGAACUAAGAAAUG